CUUUGNGAACUUAUACCUUACUGUUGCCUCGGCGCUAGCUGGUCCUUCGGGGCCCCUCACCCCCGGGUGUUGAGACAGCCCGCCGGCGGCCAACCCAACUCUUGUUUUUACACUGAAACUCUGAGAAUAAAACAUAAAUGAAUCAAAACUUUCAACAACGGAUCUCUUGGUUCUGGCAUCGAUGAAGAACGCAGCGAAAUGCGAUAAGUAAUGUGAAUUGCAGAAUUCAGUGAAUCAUCGAAUCUUUGAACGCACAUUGCGCCCUCUGGUAUUCCGGAGGGCAUGCCUGUUCGAGCGUCAUUUCAACCCUCAAGCCUGGCUUGGUGAUGGGGCACUGCUUCUUACCCAAGGAGCAGGCCCUGAAAUUCAGUGGCGAGCUCGCCAGGACCCCGAGCGCAGUAGUUAAACCCUCGCUCUGGAAGGCCCUGGCGGUGCCCUGCCGUUAAACCCCCAACUUCUGAAAAUUUGACCUCGGAUCAGGUAGGAAUACCCGCUGAACUUAAGCAUAUCAAUAAGNNGGA
RNAcentral lists this ribosomal RNA (521 nucleotides) under Diaporthe eres. RNAcentral's name for it is "eukaryotic LSU rRNA". The stretch from base 147 to 300 matches the Rfam family "5.8S ribosomal RNA". Lineage: Eukaryota; Fungi; Ascomycota; Sordariomycetes; Diaporthales; Diaporthaceae. The record is from RNAcentral.